This 497-nucleotide ribosomal RNA is filed under the name uncultured bacterium. RNAcentral's name for it is "partial 16S ribosomal RNA". It matches the Rfam family "Bacterial small subunit ribosomal RNA", at positions 28 to 507 of the family's 1533-position model. The record is from RNAcentral.
GAUGAACGCUGGCGGCGUGCCUAAUACAUGCAAGUCGAGCGAACGGACGAGAAGCUUGCUUCUCUGAUGUUAGCGGCGGACGGGUGAGUAACACGUGGAUAACCUACCUAUAAGACUGGGAUAACUUCGGGAAACCGGAGCUAAUACCGGAUAAUAUUUUGAACCGCAUGGUUCAAAAGUGAAAGACGGUCUUGCUGUCACUUAUAGAUGGAUCCGCGCUGCAUUAGCUAGUUGGUAAGGUAACGGCCUACCAAGGCAACGAUGCAUAGCCGACCUGAGAGGGUGAUCGGCCACACUGGAACUGAGACACGGUCCAGACUCCUACGGGAGGCAGCAGUAGGGAAUCUUCCGCAAUGGGCGAAAGCCUGACGGAGCAACGCCGCGUGAGGGAUGAAGGUCUUCGGAUCGUAAAACUCUGUUAUUAGGGAAGAACAUAUGUGUAAGUAACUGUGCACAUCUUGACGGUACCUAAUCAGAAAGCCACGGCUAACUACGUG